Acanthochromis polyacanthus (spiny chromis) is the source of this 6913-nucleotide long non-coding RNA. RefSeq lists it as uncharacterized. The record is from RefSeq and is a predicted model, not a curated record. NCBI's taxonomy places the organism in Eukaryota, Metazoa, Chordata, Actinopteri, Pomacentridae. The transcript has 3 exons.
CUCGGACCGGGACAUCAGCACAUGAAACAGACGUUUUGCUAUGAGGAUUCUGUUGUACGACAAAAUACCGGUCCUGUUGCUGCUCUGAUUCUUUGUGAAACUGGGCAAAGUGUGCUUAAAGGCUGUAAAAGGCUUUUUAGCCUUAUUCUGGGGGAAAAAAAUCACCCAACAUGUCCUGACUGGUGAUUCUACACAUGCGGUUCUCGUGGUCGUGUGAAAUCCAGUAAUUCCUGCUGAGACUGGAAGCUCCAAAUUUUCCAGAUUGGCUGUUUUUUCCCCUCCCCCGCUGUUUAAUCAGGUUUGGGAAAAUCACACAGUUUGUGUUAAAAAUACACGUUUGAAGCUUCGUGUCUAUUUUCUGGGUUGCCACGGUGACGAGUCCCGCCCCAUCUGAUGUGGGAUGGCAGCAAAGCAGUGAAAGCAAACGGUGAAGAUUUGUCGAUCGGAAACUGGUGAUCAAACAAAUGAGUAGAAAAGCACAGAUAGGGAAAGACCUGGUGUCAGCUCAUUAAUCAUCCUCAGACUGUCUGAAUAUUCCAGCAGCAUGACGCACGGCUGUAUUUUACACGUCCUUAUUGUCGGUGGCCGGUCUGUCGGAUCGGCUGUGACGGAUCCAAUCGAUGGAUGCUGACUCGUGUUGAACGUGAGGUUUCCAGCUGUGGAUCAUAGAAUCCUCCCUAUCGUCGAGGCGUCGCCGUGGCGUCGCUGCCAGGUUUCACCGUUUGAUGGAGGCGCUCCAGCGUUGGUCUGCGGAUGACAUCAUCACCCCAUCCGUCCGUGUGCAGCUCUUCACCAGGAGGGAGUGGCUCAGAUCCUCCGUUUACACACAAACACGAAUGAUUGUCCGUCUUCAGCGGGAUGCCAUGUGUGAUCUCUGUGCUGAACUGGACGCAAAAUGAAGACGAUUCUUUAGUUUUUACAUUAAAAACAGUCUUUUUCCUGCAUGCUGCUUCUUAUCGGGCUUUAAGCUGUGAAAGAGGAGCAGAAACGUAAACCCACAGUGUGUGUUUUUGGUGCCAGUGUUUUUGCAUUUAACAGCUUGCGUAGUCUAUAAAUGUUCACAUCCGUUAGCGCUCAUUUCGCUUCAAUGCGAGUUUGUCUUUUGUUAAAAAAACGUCUUGCUGCAGCUUUCAGAGACACUCAGAAGUUUGAGAGUUAAUAAAAUAGGAACCCAACAGCUCACUGUAAGAAGCCAUCUAAUGCUUCCUGAGGUUUUGUUUUUACUUCAUCUAUACGGGAAAUGCAGAAUGCUGAUGCUUAUUCUUUAAACAUAUCUGAACAUAUUCAGAGCAGCUUCUCCAAUAGAUUCUGAUGCUUUUUGUGUUGUUUUGAAGCUAAAUAUCGUUUAGAAGACCUCGUGAUCCUUUCAACAGCUUGAGAUUGAUCAUUAAAUGUGUAUUUUAUAGCUGCAUGUGAAUGUGAUGUCAGUGAUUAUAGUUCUGUCUGAAAGGCAUCCAUCAUCUUUACUACUGCCCUACAUCCUCUUUCUCCUGAUUUAGUCCUUUUCUUUUUCUUCACAAACUCGUGGUUCGGCAGCCGACCGCCUCUCUGCACAUAUGGAUUAUUAUUCUGCCAGGUAUUAUGCAGUUUUGCUCAGCCACUGUGGGGGUGGUGGGCAGCGGAUUGUGACCAGAUGAAGGCUAAUCUCUCCUUUGUCAGGCUGGAGGGAAGUGAGGAUGUCUGUGAUGUGUGGGCUUCCAGGAUUCUUACGUCACAUCUUUGCUGACACGGAUUGGGUUUAUAAAAUGUAAGAAAUGGUAGAAACAGGCUGCAACAGACGUGUGUCCACACCUGUGCAAUAACACUUAGAUAUCAGAUAAUUCAAAGCUACAUCACCUUCAAAAGCUGCAUUUAUUAGAUGAGAAUUAAAAACAUAAUAAAAAAGUCAGGCCCAAAAAUAGGAACUUAAUGCAACAAAAGGGAAUCCAGCUGUGAUCAAUGAAACUAAACAAUCAAUCUAACUGCAUGAACAUGGAUCAGUCCUGGAUCUGUGGACUGGGUCUAUCUAUGUCUGCAUCAUGGAUCCACAUGGAGAAGAACUGCACACAGGAAGAGAAACAUCUGACUGAGAGACUCGACAAAGGUGGAAAAAGAUCCAAGAAGAUCAGUGAGCAACUAAAAACCAGAGAAGCACGAACCAGGAGAUCUAGAAGAAGUCAUAGUUCCACUAAUCAGGAGGUCUAGAAGGAGUCAUAGUUCCACUAAUCAGGAGGUCUAGAAGGAGUCAUAGUUCCACUAAUCAGGAGGUCUAGAAGGAGUCAUAGUUCCACUAAUCAGGAGGUCUAGAAGGAGUCAUAGUUCCACUAAUCAGGUCUAGAAGGAGUCAUAGUUCCACUAAUCAGGAGGUCUAGAAGGAGUCAUAGUUCCACUAAUCAGAGCUCCUAAAAUGACUCCACAGACAGUGAACUACUUUCUCCAUCCAGCUGUAAAAACAGACAUCAGCUGCUUCAGACUUGGUUCAGGGGUUCUCCAUGGAAACCAGAGUUAGUGUGAAGCUCAGACAGUGUGAAGGAACCUUCAGAACAUCAACCUCUAUGGACGGAGGACCAGAACUAAAGCUGGUUGCUGCUCAGAACUAAACUUCCAGAUGAAAGUUUCCUGAGGUCUGAGGAUGAACCAGGAUACUGACUGACCAGAUGAAGAAGAGGAACAUUCCAGCAAGAAAAGUGAGAGCAAAGUAUAAAACCGAAUGUCUAAGAGACUAAAAACAUCUCCUUAGUGACUGGAAUUUAGUCCAAAAUUUCUCACAACUGUCUGAAAUGACUCAAAUUUGUCUGAAAGUACUUAAAAUCUGUUCAAUGCAAGAUAAGUUACUUGAAGCUGUUUGAAAUUACUCAAAAUGUGUCGACAACGAUACAACUAUCCUAAAUUACUGAAAAUUUGUUAAGUUUUCCCCAAAUCUGCCCAAAAUUUGUCAAAAUGGGAUAAAGUAUGACGAAAAUUACCAAAGAGUUGUCCAAGAUGAGCUCAAAUGUGUCCAGAAUGAGUCCAAGCUUCAGUUAUCAACUACAAAGAAAUGAGUCUAGAUCGGACCUGGACAGUGAGUCCUGAAGCCAACAGAAGCUUUGAGGUGUUCUCCAGAGAAAGGUAGAGCAACACAACGCUCCAGCAAAGAGCAGCUGAAUAAAACAGAGAAGAAUGAGAGAAAGUGUGAGCAGAAAUGAGUGGACUCUGGUUUCCUCCAUGCUGAGGACUAAAGGAGAACAUACGAAGGACUGGAGGAACCAAAGAACCUCAGGAAACAAAGGACUUUUGUUGCAUUGACUUCUUGUUGUGGAGAAAACUGAAAUGUUCCGUUUAAAUUUCACAUGUCAGGUGAUACGAUGUUGAGUCAUUUGACAUUUAGGUAAUGUUGUAUCCUGUAGACCACCAAAUAAAAGCUUUUAAUGAUCGUACAGAAACAGCAGCGUUAAUUCAUCGUCCACUCAGCUCCUUGAUGGUCUCGAUGGACGAGAUAGAAAAUGACAAAAAUGACACCAAAAGACAAAAACAAGACCCAAAACGACAAAAAUUAGACAAAAACAACAAAAACAAGAGAAAAUGUCAUAAACAAGACAAAAUGCCAGAAAUGAGACAGAAGAUGACAAAAAUGAGAAAACGAUAAAAAUGAGACAGAAAACGACAAAAACAAGACAAAAUGAGAAAAGUAAGACAAGAAACGACACAAAAUGACCAAAACAAGACACAAAACGACAAAAUGAGACAAAACGACAGAAAUUAGACAGAAAACAACAGAAACAAGAGAAAAUGUCAUAAACAAGACAUAAAAUGAGAAAACGAUAAAAAUGAGACAGAAAACGACAAAAACAAGACAAAAUGAGAAAAGUAAGACAAGAAACGACACAAAAUGACCAAAACAAGACACAAAACGACAAAAAUGAGACAAAACGACAGAAAUUAGACAGAAAACAACAAAAACAAGAGAAAAUGUCAUAAACAAGACAUAAAAUGACAAAAACGAGACAAAAUGACAAAAACUCGACAGAAAACGACAGACCAAGUCUCAGUGGAAACAGGUGAAAUGAAAACGGCACAGAAAAUGAUGAACGUUCCAGCUGCAGGACUGUAGAGGUUUGGUAAACACCAGAUUCUGUACGUGAUUGUUUACUUGUUGUUCUGAGGCGUCUCCUCACUGGAUGGAGGGAUGGAGGGAUCUGCUGUCGGCAGUUUGGACGAUCCUUCCAGGACGCCACCAUUAGCAGCAGAUAUCAGUAUAAUCCAUGUGAAAGAGGACGUCCUGUCAAUCCGCUUCAGGAAUCAUCCUCUUAAUCACCUCGAGCCGAAGAGAAGCUUCACCUGCAGACGACGUCGGCUCCAGUCUUUACGUUUAUCUGGGUUACAGUCGGUCCUAAUGGUGCAGUGGUUCUGAGCUUGUCAUCUUACAUUAGAACACAGCUUUGACUCCUGAGUGCAUCUUCAGGCCACUCUGAGUGUGUCUCUGCCUUUGUGUAUCUGUCUGAGAAACCUCACAACGAAGACGCACAAACAAACUGUUGGACAAUCAGGCGAGACGCCGCCUAACGAGCUCAGUGUGAAAACAGGAGUGUGUGUGUGUGGACUGCAUCCAGAUAAUUAAUAAUUAGCACACUGCAACUAAAAUUCACUUCAUCAACUAAUCUUCUGCUAUGUCCCCCCCACAACCCAUCGUUAACACAAAGAUGUUCAGUUUAGCAUCGAGUAUGGCAAUGAAACGCAAAAAAACCUCCUAAAAAUGGCAAAUGAAAUAAAUGCAGAUUCAUUUUCAGCUGAUCAGCUGAAGUCUACAAUAUAUAAAACCUAGUAAAAUACUAAAAGAAAUGUAAAAUAAAUACUAAAACCCUUCAGUCUAUCAGCAACAUUUUCAGGCCAUUUCCACAAAAAUCUAAUUUCAACUGUUAGUAGACAGUCGUCUGCAUAGAAACCAUCUGAACUUUAGACCAAAAAACAACAAACAUUUAAAAAUAGACAACGUACAUCAUUAACAUUUAAUGAAGACAUUCCUCUGUGCUCAGCAACAUUUAAAUAAUACAGCAUCAGAAGAAGAAUUAACAGUAAAUAAUAUCGUAUUAAAAUAAAAACCCAUUUGGACGUUUUAGCAGCUGGAACAAGGAAAAUAAAAACAUAUAAAGUAAGUAUUGUCAUUCGGGUUUCAAGGACACGCUCUGAAAUUCAUGUAUCUGGUGGAUUUUAAAUAAUUUAUGAAGCGAGAAAUAAUUUACAUCCUGGCAACGUGUUCUCAGACAGAGGGGGGGUUUAAGUCAGGAGGAAAAUGUGAUUUAAAAAAACAUCAAGUGCUGAAGAAAGACAACGUUUCCUGUCAGAAAGGUGUAAAAAAAGAAACGACGGCGUAGCACUGAUGUUCAGUCCUGUUUGGUUAUAGAACAGUUCAGUGUUCUGUAUGUUAAUAUUUAUGUUCCUGAAAAAUGUGUUCAUUUUAUUGGUCACUCAUAUUUAUUUUAAUCUUUGCUCUUUUUGUCAUGUGUGAAAUAAAUCAAUGUUAUUCAUCACUGAAAUAAAAUCGAAAAAAUGAGUUCAAGCAUAAAUUAAAUUCUAAAAUUUUAGUUGAAGGUCAUUUAUGGUCACAAAGUUAAUUAAAAAUAAAUAAAUUGGUCUAUAUACACACAGUUUUAAAGAGUAAAAAAUAAAAAUGUAAUAACAUGAUUCUGUAAAAGAAUAAAAAAACAGCAUUAAAAAAAUAAGAGUGAAACAACCAAGAACACGAUAUAUAUAUUAUCGUGCUGACUUAUGAGUCAAACGCGCCACCAAUGUCCUCCAGCCAUCCCGGUCCGACAUGAGGCCAGCAAGCUCCUCCUUUAUUGCGCCGGUGUGCAAACAAAGAGUUUUGAGGUAGGAGAGCUUUUUUAAUGUUGGCCUAGGUUCAAAUAGUAGAAGAUCUGAGAUUAGCUGUUCUUUUGCGCGGAAUGCGUGGCCAGCGAAUUUCAACGUCCUCUUAGUGAUGGUUUCGGCCAACGGCGGUAUUAAGCCGUUGCCAUAGAGAUAAGAAUUUCGGACGUGUGCCGUCCAGUCCACGUUUUGCACUGUUCGAAGCAGGCGGGUAUAGCAGCCGUUGAGACGGUUUAGCAUCUCCUGGUUGACCGUCCAUGUUUCGCACCCAUAAAGUAGCACGGAUUCGACCGGAACAGUUGGAACAGUCGGAGUCUGUGUUCGAUUGGCAAUGGGGACUUCCAGACAUUUGUUAGCUUCUUGCAAGCCUUUGUAGCAAGCGCCUUCCUAACGCUGAUGUCCUUGUCACUUGUUCUGAUCCAUGACCCAAGAUACUAAUGAUAGAAACUACAAAACAAGAUUAAAAAACAGUAAAAAAAAAGAAAGAAAGCUGAAAAUGCUUGAAAAAAAUGAGACAAAUAAAAAAAGAAUAACUAAACAAAGCUAAAUUGUUAAACAGGUUUUUUUUUAAAUGGUAUGAAAAUAAUAAAUAAAAACAGUGAUUUGAAAAGCUUAAAAGUGGAAGAACAAGAAGAAAAAAUAAGAAAAUAGAUCUAAGACUGUUCUCAAUACAACAUAAAUAUAUUAAAAAUAAUUCACUGUCACAGCGGAGUCAGAAUUCAAGAUGUUCUGUCAGAGAACGCUGAGCUUUUAUUGAUGAUUUAUUUCAGUCUUAUCAGGGAGAUGAUCAAUAAUAUUAUCCAGCCUUCACUCGUUUAUGGAUGCUCACUGUGGUGUCAUCUGGAAACAUGUCUGUUCCUAAACAAAGAAAACACACACACACACACACACACACACACACACACACACACACACACACACACACACACACACACACACAGCGUGGCCGUGUGUGUUCAGCCUGCCCCACUUUUUACCAGGUCACUGGGUCUUUCCUGCCUUUAAAGCCCAAAUAUGGAAAUAUGACGAGGAUUAUAACAUGGCUCAAAUUCAGGACACACACUCACACACACAGAAACACGGGCGCCCA